RNAcentral lists this ribosomal RNA (168 nucleotides) under uncultured Vibrio sp. RNAcentral's name for it is "partial 16S ribosomal RNA". It matches the Rfam family "Bacterial small subunit ribosomal RNA", at positions 333 to 496 of the family's 1533-position model. The record is from RNAcentral. Lineage: Bacteria; Pseudomonadati; Pseudomonadota; Gammaproteobacteria; Vibrionales; Vibrionaceae.
UUUUUCCUACGGGAGGCAGCAGUGGGGAAUAUUGCACAAUGGGCGCAAGCCUGAUGCAGCCAUGCCGCGUGUAUGAAGAAGGCCUUCGGGUUGUAAAGUACUUUCAGCAGUGAGGAAGGUGGAGUCGUUAAUAGCGGCCUCAUUGACGUAGCUGCAGAGAAGACCCAU